Molecule: non-coding RNA, 148 nt
Filed under: Gorilla gorilla gorilla (western lowland gorilla)
Lineage: Eukaryota; Metazoa; Chordata; Mammalia; Primates; Hominidae
Source: Rfam by way of RNAcentral
GCCAGGUGUGGUGGUGGGCCCCUGUAAUCCCAGCUACUCUGGAGGCUGAGGCAGGAGAAUUGCUUGAGCCCAGGAGGCGGAGAUUGCAGUGAGCCGAGAUCAUGCCACUGCACUCCAGCCUGGGCAACAGAGUAAGACUCUGUCUCAA